UGGGGAAUCUUGCGCAAUGGACGAAAGUCUGACGCAGCCACGCCGCGUGAGUGAAGAAGGCCUUCGGGUUGUAAAGCUCUGUCACCUGGGACGAAAACACUGACGGUUAAUAGCCGUCGGAAUUGACGGUACCAGGGGAGGAAGCACCGGCUAACUUCGUGCCAGCAGCCGCGGUAAUACGAAGGGUGCAAGCGUUGCUCGGAAUUAUUGGGCGUAAAGGGUUGGUAGGUGGUCUUGUUUGUCUUAGGUGAAAUCCCAUGGCUUAACUGUGGAAGUGCCUGAGAAACGGCAAGACUAGAGUCCUAGAGGGGUUUGUGGAAUUCCCGGUGUAGCGGUGAAAUGCGUAGAGAUCGGGAGGAACACCAGCGGCGAAGGCGGCAAACUGGAUAGGCACUGACACUCAACAACGAAAGCGUGGGGAGCAAACAGG
This 430-nucleotide ribosomal RNA is filed under the name uncultured delta proteobacterium. RNAcentral describes it as "bacterial SSU rRNA". It matches the Rfam family "Bacterial small subunit ribosomal RNA", at positions 355 to 776 of the family's 1533-position model. Lineage: Bacteria; Deltaproteobacteria. The record is from RNAcentral.